RNAcentral lists this ribosomal RNA (466 nucleotides) under uncultured bacterium. RNAcentral's name for it is "partial 16S ribosomal RNA". It matches the Rfam family "Bacterial small subunit ribosomal RNA", at positions 28 to 507 of the family's 1533-position model. The record is from RNAcentral.
GAUGAACGCUGGCGGCGUGCUUAACACAUGCAAGUCGAACGGAAAGGCUCCUGCUUGCCGGGGUACUCGAGUGGCGAACGGGUGAGUAACACGUGGGUGAUCUGCCCUGCACUUCGGGAUAAGCCUGGGAAACUGGGUCUAAUACCGGAUAGGACGAUGGUUUGGAUGCCAUUGUGGAAAGUUUUUUCGGUGUGGGAUGAGCUCGCGGCCUAUCAGCUUGUUGGUGGGGUAAUGGCCUACCAAGGCGUCGACGGGUAGCCGGCCUGAGAGGGUGUACGGCGACAUUGGGAAUGAGAGACGGACGAGACUGCUACGGGAGGCAGCAGUGGGGAGUAUUGCACAAGGGGCGCAAGUGCGAUGAAGAGACGCAGCGUGGGGGAUGACGGCGUUCGGGUUGUAAAAACCUGUAGCUAGGGACGAAGCGCAAGUGACGGUACCUGGAGAAGAAGCACCGGCUAACUACGUG